GACGAACGCUGGCGGCGUGCUUAACACAUGCAAGUCGAACGAUGAACCGGUUUCGGCCGGGGAUUAGUGGCGAACGGGUGAGUAACACGUGGGCAAUCUGCCCUGCACUCUGGGACAAGCCCUGGAAACGGGGUCUAAUACCGGAUAUUGACCUGCCUCUGCAUGGGGGUGGGUGGAAAGCUCCGGCGGUGCAGGAUGAGCCCGCGGCCUAUCAGCUAGUUGGUGAGGUAAUGGCUCACCAAGGCGACGACGGGUAGCCGGCCUGAGAGGGCGACCGGCCACACUGGGACUGAGACACGGCCCAGACUCCUACGGGAGGCAGCAGUGGGGAAUAUUGCACAAUGGGCGAAAGCCUGAUGCAGCGACGCCGCGUGAGGGAUGACGGCCUUCGGGUUGUAAACCUCUUUCAGCAGGGAAGAAGCGAAAGUGACGGUACCUGCAGAAGAAGCGCCGGCUAACUACGUGCCAGCAGCCGCCGCAGUAAAAC
This 487-nucleotide ribosomal RNA is filed under the name uncultured bacterium. RNAcentral describes it as "bacterial SSU rRNA". It matches the Rfam family "Bacterial small subunit ribosomal RNA", at positions 28 to 526 of the family's 1533-position model. The record is from RNAcentral.